Humulus lupulus (European hop) is the source of this 832-nucleotide long non-coding RNA. RefSeq lists it as uncharacterized. The transcript has 5 exons. The record is from RefSeq and is a predicted model, not a curated record. NCBI's taxonomy places the organism in Eukaryota, Viridiplantae, Streptophyta, Magnoliopsida, Rosales, Cannabaceae.
UCUUGAACAUUUUUCAUUUUAUUAAGAAAAGAAAAGAAUAUAGAAAAUAAAAGAAAUAUAAGUUGUCAUCUUGUAGGAAAAGAUGACAAGGCUUAUCUUUGAUUUGGUUCAAUUUAUGAUAAGGGUUUAGGUAAGGUGUAAGGAGAGGGAAUGGUGGGAUUUAGCUUAAUUUGUGGGAUAGGAAUUUAACUUUUCACACUUGAGUCAUCUUCCUAAGGUUAGGUCACUAGAGGCUAUAAAUAGAAGAACAUGAGAGCCUUGGGAAUUCUUUUGUUGGCUGCUGAAAUUCAGGAGGAGAAGAAAAGAGAGAGAGAACUCGUGGGAGAAAGAAAGAAGAAAAAGGAAGAAGGGCUCGAGGUCUCUAAGGUUCUAAUCCCACAAGAGCAUAAGGAUUGUUGUUAGGGUUUUGACCAACAAGAGGGUGUUGGAGGCUAGCAAAACGAGGGUGAUCAUAACUAUUUUUGGGUUCUUUGAUUUCUAUCAAAGGAGGCUCGUUGAGAAGUUUUCGUUUUACUUAGCUUGGACCUGAGGUAGCAAAUAUGUUUCUCUAUGGCACACGUGGUGAUGUGGGAAGUUUUGUCAUCCUGGUGUGUAUGGCGUGGGGGCAUCCAAUGGACGAGAAACGAUCAGUUUAAAACACCAUUUUCUUGUAAUAAUGUUAUGUUUAAUGGGAUUUUUUUAAAAUUUAUCGGCAGGACUUGAACUUUUGGUUGUUUAAAAACUUUGCAUGAAAAACUAAUAUUUUCUUUUUAAACUAUUGGGCCCAACUUGCAUGUUUUUAGCAAGACCCCACUGAAAUCUUUAUAAGAAGUGGCUUUCUCUUAUAAACCAA